This 240-nucleotide long non-coding RNA is filed under the name Mytilus galloprovincialis (Mediterranean mussel). The record is from RNAcentral. Lineage: Eukaryota; Metazoa; Mollusca; Bivalvia; Mytilida; Mytilidae.
AAAUGCUCUGAAGAUAGAUAUAGAUGUAUAGAGGUUGCCAAUAAAAAUUUCAUUGACCCGAAGGAUGUUUUGCCUUAUCGAGUGGGAGACGUAAAGGAAAGGGAAGAAGCAAAACAAUUGAGGGAGAGAGUUGAGGAAAGGAAGCGAAAAGCCAAGGAAGAGGCUCAAGAAACCCGUAAACAAUAUGUUGAGAAGGGGAAAAAACCCAAAUUAGAGGACAAAUACUAUAAUUCGAGGGAC